AUGGAAAACCGAUUUACGUAUGAUGAUUAUCAGAACACGAGUGAAUGGCUUAUGUGCCACACCAAGCACUGACCUCAAGUGGCAGUCAUCUGUGGCUCUGGGUUAGGAAAUCUGGUUGAUAAAUUAACUGACACCCAGAGCUUUGACUACAGCGAGAUUCCAAACUUUCCCUGAAGUACAGUGCCUGGUCAUGCUGGUCGACUGGUGUUUGGGUUCCUGAAUGGCAGGGCCUGUGUGAUGAUGCAGGGCAGGUUCCACAUGUAUGAAGGCUACCCGAUCUGGAAGGUGACAUUCCCAGUGAGGGUUUUCUUCCUUAUGGGCGUGGACACCCUAGUGGUCACCAAUGCAGCUGGAGGACUCAACCCUGAGUUUGAGGUCGGAGAUAUCAUGCUGAUCCGUGAUCACAUCAACUUUCCUGGCUUCAGUGGUGUAAACCCUCUCAUAGGGCCCAAUGACGAAAGGUUUGGACUUCGUUUUCCUGCCAUGUCUGAUGCCUAUGACCGGGAUAUGCGGCAGAACGCUCACAGGGCCUGGAAACAGAUGGGGGAGCAGAGAGAGCUGAAGGAAGGCAUCUAUGUGAUGUUGGCAGGCCCGUCUUUUGAGACUCUGGCUGAAUGUUGGCUGCUGCAGAAGCUGGGGGCAGAUGCAGUUGGCAUGAGCACGGUACCAGAAGUUAUAGUUGCAAGGCACUGUGGACUUCGAGUCUUUGGCUUCUCCCUCAUCACUAACAAAGUCGUCUUGGAUUAUGAAGCCAAGGAGAAGGUCAAUCAUGAGGAAGUACUAGAGGCUGGGAGACAAGCAGCACAAAAAUUGGAACAGUUUGUCUCUAUUCUUAUGACCAGUAUUCCACCACCUGCCAAAGCCAGCUAACGAGCCCUGGAGUGGUCUGGCCUCUCCAUAAUGGGAUCCAGGUAGCUACUACACACUUCGGCCCCUUGCUGGGGUCACGUGCCUCUGCCCUUCAGUAGUAGGAAAAGAGAGGAAGAUCACUAUCCUUCACCUUUCCCAUUUCUCCCACCAGACCCUUCUGCACUGGCUCUUCUGCUCAGUUAUCUCAAAGCAGUUAUCAUCUCCUCCCCCAGCCCAAGAGCUAGAACCCAAGCCCUGCUGUGCCUAUGCCUGGGUGUGACUUGGGCUGUUGAACUUGGCCCAGUAGCUACUGCUGUCCUUUUGAUGUAAUGCUUUCACAUUCCUGGGGACUUGGUUCUGCCUCCUCCAAAGCACUAGAGCCCACACGAGGGCUAGCCCAGUCUGAUACCCCUUGGAGUUUUGUAUUACCCUAUUUUGAGAAUAAAAAGAAAGAUGAACUAA
Molecule: RNA transcript, 1311 nt
Organism: Odobenus rosmarus divergens (Pacific walrus)
Lineage: Eukaryota; Metazoa; Chordata; Mammalia; Carnivora; Odobenidae
Gene name: purine nucleoside phosphorylase-like
Exons: 1
Source: RefSeq, a predicted model, not a curated record